This 405-nucleotide ribosomal RNA is filed under the name uncultured bacterium. Its description in RNAcentral is "bacterial SSU rRNA". It matches the Rfam family "Bacterial small subunit ribosomal RNA", at positions 976 to 1381 of the family's 1533-position model. The record is from RNAcentral.
UAGCCUUGACAUAUAUUAGAACUCCGUAGAGAUACAGAGGUGCCUUCGGGAGCUUUUAUACAGGUGCUGCACGGCUGUCGUCAGCUCGUGUCGUGAGAUGUUGGGUUAAGUCCCGCAACGAGCGCAACCCUCGUCACUAGUUACUAACGAUUCGGUCGAGGACUCUAGUGAGACUGCCUUCGUAAGGAGGAGGAAGGUGAGGACGACGUCAAGUCAUCAUGGCCCUUACGGCUAGGGCAACACACGUGCUACAAUGGCCAGGACAGUGAGACGCGAUACCGUGAGGUGGAGCAAAUCUAUAAACCUGGUCUCAGUUCGGAUUGUAGUCUGCAACUCGACUACAUGAAGCUGGAAUCACUAGUAAUCGUAGAUCAGCUAUGCUACGGUGAAUACGUUCCCGGGUCU